GACGAACGCUGGCGGCGUGCUUAACACAUGCAAGUCGUACGGUAAGGCCCUUUCGGGGGUACACGAGUGGCGAACGGGUGAGUAACACGUGAGUAACCUGCCCACAACUUUGGGAUAACGCUAGGAAACUGGUGCUAAUACUGGAUAUGUGCUCCUGCUGCAUGGUGGGGGUUGGAAAGCUCCGGCGGUUGUGGAUGGACUCGCGGCCUAUCAGCUUGUUGGUGGGGUAGUGGCCUACCAAGGCGGCGACGGGUAGCCGGCCUAAGAGGGUGACCGGCCACAUUGGGACUGAGAUACGGCCCAGACUCCUACGGGAGGCAGCAGUGGGGAAUAUUGCACAAUGGGCGCAAGCCGGAUGCAGCAACGCCGCGUGCGGGAUGACGGCCUUCGGGUUGUAAACCGCUUUCAGCAGGGACGAAGCUUUUUGUGACGGUACCUGCAGAAGAAGCACCGGCUAACUACGUG
Molecule: ribosomal RNA, 465 nt
Filed under: uncultured bacterium
Lineage: Bacteria
Description: partial 16S ribosomal RNA
Rfam family: Bacterial small subunit ribosomal RNA
Source: RNAcentral